AUAAUAUUUUUCGGAGCAACAUCUGUGCGUGAAGCGGGUCAGGGGAGGAAUCCAGCAGCCCUAAGCGAUUUCAGGUGUGUGCUCUUUUUUUGUGUUAAGGAG
Molecule: signal recognition particle RNA, 102 nt
Filed under: Streptococcus salivarius SK126
Lineage: Bacteria; Bacillati; Bacillota; Bacilli; Lactobacillales; Streptococcaceae
Also listed under: 2 other names
Description: Bacterial signal recognition particle RNA
Rfam family: Bacterial small signal recognition particle RNA (bases 8-93)
About the family: The signal recognition particle (SRP) is a universally conserved ribonucleoprotein involved in the co-translational targeting of proteins to membranes.
Source: RNAcentral